This 279-nucleotide ribosomal RNA is filed under the name uncultured bacterium. RNAcentral describes it as "partial 16S ribosomal RNA". It matches the Rfam family "Bacterial small subunit ribosomal RNA", at positions 506 to 784 of the family's 1533-position model. The record is from RNAcentral.
UGCCAGCCGCCGCGGUAACACGGGGGGCGCAAGCGUUAUUCGGAAUUAUUGGGCGUAAAGCGCGCGUAGGCGGCUAUGUAAGUCAGAUGUGAAAGCCCGCGGCUCAACCGUGGAAGUGCAUUUGAAACUGCAUAGCUUGAGUACUGGAGGGGGUAGUGGAAUUCCCGGUGUAGAGGUGAAAUUCGUAGAUAUCGGGAGGAAUACCGGUGGCGAAGGCGACUACCUGGCCAGAUACUGACGCUGAGGUGCGAAAGCGUGGGGAGCAAACAGGAUUAGAUA